Molecule: long non-coding RNA, 1212 nt
Filed under: Nicotiana tabacum (common tobacco)
Lineage: Eukaryota; Viridiplantae; Streptophyta; Magnoliopsida; Solanales; Solanaceae
Description: long non-coding RNA (NTAB_LNC015553)
Source: RNAcentral
GAUCAGCCAUUUUUUGUGAUGGAGAACAAACAAAACCCUUGAAAUCGAUCUUCUUCAACCUAGAGUAUAGGGCAACACUUAACUUAGCCAUUUUUCUGAUUUUGGACAAUAGACAAGAGCUUCAGCUCUUCUUCUUCAUGAAGAUUGAACAAAACCAGAACCUUGAAGACUUCUAGGAGAGAUAUCAACGACAGAACACUAAAGAGGACCCCCAGACUUGGACCCCUAACGCCUAAGGACAAAACCAGCCGUUGAACGACAGAACCCCACCCCCUAAAGAUCAUCUUCUUCGUCACCCCUCUCCUAUCGAUUCCUCAUCUUCUUCAGAUAAGAAAUAGCCAGCUUCCAUGGUUUCUUAACAGAGAACACACAAACACAGCCUUCCCUCGUCCAAACAAUACCCCCUUUUUCUUCUUCUCUUCACACCCCAUCAGCUUCUUCUUCUUUAACAGAGGUGAACUCGCCGAAAACGCCGUAACACACACACACAAAUGCACAAAUAGUAGAGAGGACAUGGAGUUGACAACCUCAAACCACCCCAAAUAGUCCAUUUCCAUGACUGUUUCGGUGCCAAGUAUUGACGUUUUGAGUUUGUCGAGGUCCAGGGCGCCGAGGUUUCUGUUCCCAAACGUUUUCAGAUUCAAGAGUUGUUGCUUUCAAGGUGCACAUCACAAAUCUGUAUUGUACUUUGAUUUGCAAGAAAACGUUGCUUAUUUUGUCUAAAUUCGUUUAGCGUGAUUGGCUGAAUCUGCUUCCAUCUUGUUUUAAACAUAAGCAGAAUGUUUAGUUUGAUUUAGUUAAUUCCUAAAACAUGGGCAUUAUCUUGUUUGAAUUAAAUGAGUACUUUGAUAUAUGUUGUGUUUGGAGAUGACAUUUUCAAGGGUGUUGUAAGCUGCUGUGUGUGUGUUGAAUUUUUCCGGCAAAAUCUCUUGAAACUCGAAGAAAUAUGAAUUAUUUGAAUUUGUGUUUGGUAUAGUUAAUGGGAUAAGUCUACAUUGGAAUGUUAGAUUAAUCACGGUAAAAUUGUGUAUUCCCUGUGUGUAUUUAACACUUUAAGCUUGAAGGCUUGAAGGAGGGUAUUUUUGCCAAGCAGUUGCCUUGUUACUUGCUCGAGCCAAUUGCUACAAAAAGAUGGGUGUUUCAAUAUGCUUUCUUAAGGGACUUGUUACAGGUAGUCCAAUAUGUUUCAAGGGAUGCAUUGAUACGUCUGGG